Molecule: ribosomal RNA, 468 nt
Filed under: uncultured bacterium
Lineage: Bacteria
Description: partial 16S ribosomal RNA
Rfam family: Bacterial small subunit ribosomal RNA
Source: RNAcentral
GACGAACGCUGGCGGCGUGCUUAACACAUGCAAGUCGAACGGAAAGGCCCUGCUUUUGUGGGGUGCUCGAGUGGCGAACGGGUGAAUAACACGUGAGUAACCUGCCCUUGACUUUGGGAUAACUUCAGGAAACUGGGGCUAAUACCGGAUAGGAGCUCCUGCUGCAUGGUGGGGGUUGGAAAGUUUCGGCGGUUGGGGAUGGACUCGCGGCUUAUCAGCUUGUUGGUGGGGUAGUGGCUUACCAAGGCUUUGACGGGUAGCCGGCCUGAGAGGGUGACCGGCCACAUUGGGACUGAGAUACGGCCCAGACUCCUACGGGAGGCAGCAGUGGGGAAUAUUGCACAAUGGGCGGAAGCCUGAUGCAGCAACGCCGCGUGCGGAAUGACGGCCUUCGGGUUGUAAACCGCUUUCGCCUGUGACGAAGCGUGAGUGACGGUAAUGGGUAAAGAAGCACCGGCUAACUACGUG